GCUUGCUCUUAUGAAGUUAGCGGCGGACGGGUGAGUAACACGUGGGUAACCUGCCCAUAAGACUGGGAUAACUCCGGGAAACCGGGGCUAAUACCGGAUAACAUUUUGAACCGCAUGGUUCGAAAUUGAAAGGCGGCUUCGGCUGUCACUUAUGGAUGGACCCGCGUCGCAUUAGCUAGUUGGUGAGGUAACGGCUCACCAAGGCAACGAUGCGUAGCCGACCUGAGAGGGUGAUCGGCCACACUGGGACUGAGACACGGCCCAGACUCCUACGGGAGGCAGCAGUAGGGAAUCUUCCGCAAUGGACGAAAGUCUGACGGAGCAACGCCGCGUGAGUGAUGAAGGCUUUCGGGUCGUAAAACUCUGUUGUUAGGGAAGAACAAGUGCUAGUUGAAUAAGCUGGCACCUUGACGGUACCUAACCAGAAAGCCACGGCUAACUACGUGCCAGCAGCCGCGGUAAUACGUAGGUGGCAAGCGUUAUCCGGAAUUAUUGGGCGUAAAGCGCGCGCAGGUGGUUUCUUAAGUCUGAUGUGAAAGCCCACGGCUCAACCGUGGAGGGUCAUUGGAAACUGGGAGACUUGAGUU
RNAcentral lists this ribosomal RNA (587 nucleotides) under Bacillus sp. 3177O2. RNAcentral describes it as "bacterial SSU rRNA". It matches the Rfam family "Bacterial small subunit ribosomal RNA", at positions 78 to 648 of the family's 1533-position model. Lineage: Bacteria; Bacillati; Bacillota; Bacilli; Caryophanales; Bacillaceae. The record is from RNAcentral.